Non-coding RNA from Tinamus guttatus (white-throated tinamou), 1109 nucleotides. NCBI's taxonomy places the organism in Eukaryota, Metazoa, Chordata, Aves, Tinamiformes, Tinamidae. The record is from RefSeq and is a predicted model, not a curated record.
CUGUCUUUGUCCUCCUUGCAGAACGAGCAGGCGUUUGAGGAAGUGUUCCAAAAUGCAAACUUCAACACAUAUGAGUUCAGGAUCCGCGUCAAACUCGAGACCUACAAUGAUGAAUCUCGCAUUAAGGCUACAGCACUGGAUGUCAAACCUGUGAACUACAGAGAAUACAGCAAGAGGUUGAUCACAAGCAUCAGGAAAAAUGCUCAGCUUGGAUGAGAGGGCUGGUGCUGAUUGAUCUGAAGCCAAAGCUUCCACUUCCAGGAAAAACUCAAGAGAUAAUGUUAAAUUGAUUUCUCCCCACCCUGUGUGAGACGAUUUGGCAUUAGUUACACCAUGCAUGGUAGUCCAGUGUAGUGGGCUGAGUGAUUUAAUGCAUUUCUCUGAACAUAUGCUACUGGUAGGUAAGAUUGCACUCAAAUGGCCACGAUAUUGUAGACUUCUGUGGUCAAUUAAACUAGGAUAGUGCUUAAGAGAACUCUUCUAGACAGAUUGCCAGUGUCUUUAGGCAAAGCAUUCAGAAUGUCUGAAGUAACUUUGCUUGCUUGAUAUAGCUAAAGCUAAAUUCUAUAACCAUUGCAAGGAAGUAGUGACAACCUUAGCACUUGGACUUCCUCGGCUAAAGGUAGGAGGAAGACUGUCAUACAGUCUUCAGAUACAGGCUACAAAGAACAGGUCUAUUAGCACAAGUUAGCUCUCUUCCCUAGAAUUCAAAGGCUUUCCCUUUCCAUAGGUGCCAUGCAGUUAAUGCUUGGAAUGGCAAUAUGGUAGAAUUAUUAAUCAAAGACAUAUCUCUCAUAUCUGAAGAAUAUCCUUCCUUCAGGGUUUAAUAGACUGAGUCAGAUGGGUCUGAUAUUAAUCAAAAUUGUCUCUUCUGAGGAAAGCAGAUAAGCAUUGACUCUCCAUCCCCCAGGGAAAUCCAGACAACUACAAAGCAUUGCUUUAGUUUUCAGUUCAAUUAAUACUAUGUUUUGACUGAUUUUAGCACAUUUCUUGCCUACAUAUACUUUGUAUGUUUGUAUGUUCAGUUUCUUUGGUUUUAUGUGUAAUGUUAAUCAUAAAGAGAUCUUUAAGUGGGGGGAGCUUUGUUUCAAUAAACAGUUUAAUUCCUA